This 435-nucleotide ribosomal RNA is filed under the name uncultured bacterium. RNAcentral's name for it is "partial 16S ribosomal RNA". It matches the Rfam family "Bacterial small subunit ribosomal RNA", at positions 29 to 507 of the family's 1533-position model. The record is from RNAcentral.
AGCGAACGCUGGCGGCAGGCUUAACACAUGCAAGUCGAGCGGGCAUCUUCGGAUGUCAGCGGCAGACGGGUGAGUAACACGUGGGAACGUACCCUUCGGUUCGGAACAACUCUGGGAAACUGGAGCUAAUACCGGAUACGCCCUUAUGGGGAAAGGUUUACUGCCGAAGGAUCGGCCCGCGUCUGAUUAGCUAGUUGGUGGGGUAACGGCCUACCAAGGCGACGAUCAGUAGCUGGUCUGAGAGGAUGAUCAGUCACACUGGGACUGAGACACGGCCCAGACUCCUACGGGAGGCAGCAGUGGGGAAUAUUGGACAAUGGGCGCAAGCCUGAUCCAGCCAUGCCGCGUGAGUGAUGAAGGCCUUAGGGUUGUAAAGCCCUUUUGUCCGGGACGAUAAUGACGGUACCGGAAGAAUAAGCCCCGGCUAACUUCGUG